AGUGAACGCUGGCGGUAGGCCUAACACAUGCAAGUCGAACGGCAGCACAGUAAGAGCUUGCUCUUACGGGUGGCGAGUGGCGGACGGGUGAGGAAUACAUCGGAAUCUACUUUUUCGUGGGGGAUAACGUAGGGAAACUUACGCUAAUACCGCAUACGACCUACGGGUGAAAGCAGGGGAUCUUCGGACCUUUCGCGAUUGAAUGAGCCGAUGUCGGAUUAGCUAGUUGGCGGGGUAAAGGCCCACCAAGGCGACGAUCCGUAGCUGGUCUGAGAGGAUGAUCAGCCACACUGGAACUGAGACACGGUCCAGACUCCUACGGGAGGCAGCAGUGGGGAAUAUUGGACAAUGGGCGCAAGCCUGAUCCAGCCAUACCGCGUGGGUGAAGAAGGCCUUCGGGUUGUAAAGCCCUUUUGUGGGGAAAGAAAAGCAGCAGGUUAAUACCCCGCUGUUCUGACGGUACCCAAAGAAUAAGCACCGGCUAACUUCGUG
This 492-nucleotide ribosomal RNA is filed under the name uncultured bacterium. RNAcentral's name for it is "partial 16S ribosomal RNA". It matches the Rfam family "Bacterial small subunit ribosomal RNA", at positions 29 to 507 of the family's 1533-position model. The record is from RNAcentral.